RNAcentral lists this ribosomal RNA (1450 nucleotides) under human gut metagenome. RNAcentral describes it as "bacterial LSU rRNA". It matches the Rfam family "Bacterial large subunit ribosomal RNA", at positions 467 to 1992 of the family's 2925-position model. The record is from RNAcentral.
UAAAUACUACCUGAUGACCGAUAGAGGAGCAGUACCGUGAGGGAAAGGUGAAAAGAACCCCGGGAGGGGAGUGAAAGAGUACCUGAAACCUUGUGCUUACAAGCAGUCAAAGCCCGUUAAAGGGUGAUGGCGUACUUUUUGUAGAACGGUCCGGCGAGUUAUAGUAACUGGCGAGGUUAAGGUAUUGAGUACCGAAGCCGAAGGGAAACCGAGUGUGAAGAGCGCGAAUGAAGUCAGUUGCCAUAGACCCGAAACCAGGUGACCUAGCCAUGACCAGGCUGAAGUGGAGGUAAAGCUCCAUGGAGGGCCGAACCCACGUUCGUUGCAAUGACCGGGGAUGAGUUGUGGCUAGCGGUGAAAUUCCAAACGAACCUGGAGAUAGCUGGUUCUCCCCGAAAUAGUUUUAGGACUAGCGUUGGCAAUGAGUUUCGCGGUGGUAAAGCACUGAAUGGGCUAGGGGGCGAUAAGCUUACUGAACCCUAUCAAACUAAGAAUGCCGCAGAAAUGCUUACCAGCAGUCAGACUACGAGUAAUAAAAUCCGUGGUCAAAAGGGAAAUAGCCCAGACCCACAGCUAAGGUCCCGAAUACAUGCUAAGUGGAAAACGAUGUGAGAUUGCAGAAACAACCAGGAUGUUGGCUUAGAGGCAGCCACUCGUUCAAAGAGUGCGUAAUAGCUCACUGGUCGAGUGAUCUUGCGCGGAAAAUUUAACGGGGCUAAGCAUGUAACCGAAGCUUGGGAUUCACGCGUAAGUGUGAGUGGUAGGGGAGCGUCGAAUACGGGGUGAAGUCGCACCGGAAGGAGCGGUGGACUGUAUUCGAGUGAGAAUGCCGGAAUGAGUAGCGAGAAUUAUGUGGGAAUCAUAAUGGCCGAAAAUCUAAGGUUUCCUGGGGAAGGUUCGUCCGCCCAGGGUAAGCCGGGAGCUAAGGCGAGGCCGCAAGGCGUAGUCGAUGCACAUACGGUAGAAAUUCCGUAGCCGGUACAAUUGUUAAUCACGGUGACACAUGAGUAUAGCUCUACCGGGCGUUGGUAGCCCCGGGCGUAAGCGAGUCGAAUGAGACGAAGUGAGUAAAGCUUGUGGCGAGAAAAGCCGUGUGUAUUGGUUGUACUGCCCGUACCGCAAACCGACACAGGUAGAUGAGGAGAAGAUCCUAAGGCCAACGGGAGAAGGGUUGUUAAGGAACUAGGCAAAUUGACCCCGUAACUUCGGAAUAAGGGGUGCCUACGAAAGUAGGUCGCAGAGAAUAGGCCCAAGCAACUGUUUACCAAAAACACAGGUCUCUGCUAAAUCGAAAGAUGACGUAUAGGGGCUGACGCCUGCCCGGUGCCGGAAGGUUAAGAGGAGAGCUUAGCGCAAGCGAAGGUUUGAAUUGAAGCCCCGGUAAACGGCGGCCGUAACUAUAACGGUCCUAAGGUAGCGAAAUUCCUUGUCAGGUAAGUUCUGACCCGCA